UAUUAGUGCUCUGUUACGGAAAGUUCGCU
This 29-nucleotide non-coding RNA is filed under the name Mus musculus (house mouse). The record is from RNAcentral. Lineage: Eukaryota; Metazoa; Chordata; Mammalia; Rodentia; Muridae.